RNAcentral lists this ribosomal RNA (363 nucleotides) under Triticum aestivum (bread wheat). RNAcentral describes it as "partial small subunit ribosomal RNA". The record is from RNAcentral. Lineage: Eukaryota; Viridiplantae; Streptophyta; Magnoliopsida; Poales; Poaceae.
AUGGAGAAGUCGACCAAGAUGGUGGCGGUGCUCGUCCUCGCCGUGCUGGCCGCGGCGACCAGCGCCGAGGCGAGGAACAUCAAGACGACGGACGCGGCAGCCGCCAGCAAGGACGCGGUCCUGCAGCCGACGACCUUCCCGCCCUUCGACCGCCUCGGCGGCCUCCCCGGCGGCAGCAGCAUGCCGGGAUUCAGCCUCCCCGGCAGCAGCGGCGCCACCCCGGGCAUCAGCGGCAUCGGCAGCAUGCCCUUCCUCGGCGGCAGCUCCCCCGGCCUCGGCGGCUCCACCGGUCUCGGCGGCUUCGGCGGCAUGCCGGGGUCCCCCGCUGCAGCUGCCGUCGACGAGCACGCCAAGAAGCCGUGA